GACGAACGCUGGCGGCGUGCUUAACACAUGCAAGUCGUACGGAAAGGCCCUUUCGGGGGUACACGAGUGGCGAACGGGUGAGUAACACGUGAGUAACCUGCCCACAACUUUGGGAUAACGCUAGGAAACUGGUGCUAAUACUGGAUAUGUGCUCCUGCUGCAUGGUGGGGGUUGGAAAGCUCCGGCGGUUGUGGAUGGACUCGCGGCCUAUCAGCUUGUUGGUGGGGUAGUGGCCUACCAAGGCGGCGACGGGUAGCCGGCCUGAGAGGGUGACCGGCCACAUUGGGACUGAGAUACGGCCCAGACUCCUACGGGAGGCAGCAGUGGGGAAUAUUGCACAAUGGGCGCAAGCCUGAUGCAGCAACGCCGCGUGCGGGAUGACGGCCUUCGGGUUGUAAACCGCUUUCAGCAGGGACGAAGCUUUUUGUGACGGUACCUGCAGAAGAAGCACCGGCUAACUACGUG
This 465-nucleotide ribosomal RNA is filed under the name uncultured bacterium. Its description in RNAcentral is "partial 16S ribosomal RNA". It matches the Rfam family "Bacterial small subunit ribosomal RNA", at positions 28 to 507 of the family's 1533-position model. The record is from RNAcentral.